RNAcentral lists this ribosomal RNA (462 nucleotides) under Triticum aestivum (bread wheat). Its description in RNAcentral is "partial small subunit ribosomal RNA". Lineage: Eukaryota; Viridiplantae; Streptophyta; Magnoliopsida; Poales; Poaceae. The record is from RNAcentral.
AUGCACUGCAUACAAAUGUACAUGAACAACAUCAGGAAACUUCAGGAAGAAUGCAGCAGAUCAGCCGAGCCGGUGACAGUAUCUGCUUUCUGGUUAGCUUGCCAAGUUGCCAACCACGCCCAAGGCCAGGGAAGGAAGGGAUUCAAGACUGACACCGACGGCGCAACAAACAACGGCCACCCAUUGCGAAACCAUUGGCCGACCCUAGGUUUGUUCCAGAAGCCACCAAGUUCAGCAGGCCGGAUUUUAUAUACACAUCUAAUCCAAUGGCUGGGGCAGUGUGUGUACCUGAAACCAAAGAAGAUAUUUAAUUACCAAAACCAUCCAAGAUAUUUUCUCAACCUACACAAGUUGCUUGCCAAGUUGCCAACAGCUCAACCCGAGAACUGCCGCUGCGAUAGAUAUUUUCCAUUGCUGCAAGUUGCUCCUCCCCGGAGAAAACGUGCACUGGCUCCUCCCUAA